Molecule: ribosomal RNA, 450 nt
Filed under: uncultured bacterium
Lineage: Bacteria
Description: partial 16S ribosomal RNA
Rfam family: Bacterial small subunit ribosomal RNA
Source: RNAcentral
AGCGAACAUUGGCGGUAGGCUUAACACAUGCAAGUCGAGCGAGGCGUAAUAGUCGAGCGGCGAACGGGUGCGUAAUACAUGGGAAUCUACCUCGAAGUGGGGGAUAACGUCCAGAAAUGGACGCUAAUACCGCAUAAUCCAUAUCGGGAAAGCGUUGCAGCGCUUUGAGAUGAGCCCAUGGCUGAUUAGCUUGUUGGUGAGGUAACGGCUCACCAAGGCGACGAUCAGUAGCUGGUCUGAGAGGAUGACCAGCCACACUGGAACUGAGACACGGUCCAGACUCCUACGGGAGGCAGCAGUGGGGAAUCUUGCGCAAUGGGGGCAACCCUGACGCAGCCAUACCGCGUGAGUGAUGAAGGUCUUCGGAUUGUAAUGCUCUUUCGGCAGGGACGACGAUGACGGUACCUGCAAAAGAAGUCACGGCUAACUUCGUGCCAGCCGCCGCCGUAA